CAGCCCCGCGGGAAAACAGAGGGUGCGAGCGUUAAUCGGAUUUACUGGGCGUAAAGCGUGCGUAGGCGGCUUUUUAAGUCGGAUGUGAAAUCCCUGAGCUUAACUUAGGAAUUGCAUUCGAUACUGGGAAGCUAGAGUAUGGGAGAGGAUGGUAGAAUUCCAGGUGUAGCGGUGAAAUGCGUAGAGAUCUGGAGGAAUCCCGAUGGCGAAGGCAGCCAUCUGGCCUAAUACUGACGCUGAGGUACGAAAGCAUGGGGAGCAAACAGGAUUAGAUACCCCUGUAGUCCCUGUCUCUUAUACA
This 301-nucleotide ribosomal RNA is filed under the name uncultured bacterium. Its description in RNAcentral is "partial 16S ribosomal RNA". It matches the Rfam family "Bacterial small subunit ribosomal RNA", at positions 509 to 808 of the family's 1533-position model. The record is from RNAcentral.